RNAcentral lists this long non-coding RNA (11168 nucleotides) under Medicago truncatula (barrel medic). RNAcentral describes it as "long non-coding RNA (MTRU_LNC006518)". The record is from RNAcentral. Lineage: Eukaryota; Viridiplantae; Streptophyta; Magnoliopsida; Fabales; Fabaceae.
CCUGCAGUGGUGUUUAGCUUAUCCUUAGUUGCAAUGUUAUCCUUAACCAACAUAGGUAUUCCAUGUAACCUUGAAAGAGAACCAGGUGCUUUUUCCCUUCUCUCUUGAUCAGCUUUAUCUGCUUCUGCUAAUGCAUCUGGAUUGACCUCCAAGACUCCUUUGAGAACUGGGUUUUGGAUAUUGAUUUGAUUGAGAUAGAACUCAACAAGCUGUCUUGAUGUUAAUUGGUUUGUUUGAAAAGCUAGUUGAAGAUCUUGUACUGUUGCUUCCUCAAUUGAGAAUUCAGUGGCCAUGGUAGUUGAUUGCGUAGCAGGGAAGGUAACUGGUUGAAAGAUUUUAGAAAGGAAUCGGAAGAAAUUAAGGGCAAACAUGUGCAGAAUCCCAUUAGUCAACUCAUGAUGAAAUCAACCCAGUUUCUAUUCUAUACUCCAAUUUUCUUAUUCUUGGUCUUAAUGAUGUAUUCCCUGAGGUUUCAAAUAUUAAAAAAAUAAAAAAAAUACAAGUUAGCGACAUUUUAUUAAAUUAUAUUAGAUUUUCUUUCAAUUUUUUAAGUCAAAUUAACCCACGGAAAUGUAACCGGAAAGAAUCGAACAUAAAAUCUUUAAAAGAAUACAUUUCAAGGUCUCAAGUCAAUAUCACCGGACCAAUCUAAAUGACUUUUUUUUAUUAAAUUAUUCUUACUGAUUAAUUAAUUUUUUUAAAAGGCUAAGAAUAUGAUGUAUUAAAACAACUCAAUCACACCAUAAGAAAUGCUAUUAUAUGUUUACUAUCUAUACCAUAAUUAUACAAUGACAACUCAAAAUUUAAGUACCAACUUAUUAACUAUGUAUGGUUGGACUUUUCUUUGGACAGAUUUACCUUUUAUAACUUAAUUCUAUUUGAAUUUCAAUAUACAUCAUAAUUAUGAGAAAUUUUAAAACUAAUUCUUUACUUUAGUUUAACAUUUUUUUCUGUUACAAAUUUUCUCUUAAUAUCAUAUAGUAUAUUUUUUCAAAUUCAAAUGUAAAUAAGUUUGGACAACAUAGAUAUAACAAAAUACCACCAAAUGUUUAUUCAUAAAAAAAAAAAAAUACAACCAAAUGUAUUAUUUUCUUAAAAAAAACACCAAAUGAAUUAUUUAAAAAAAUAUUGUACGUUAAAGUAUAAAUACAACGAAUUACAGCAACAAAAACGAAUACUACAUGUUAGAAUGCAUUGUCAGUGUAAUAUUAUGAGUAAAUUACACUCCACUCCCCUUAAAGAUGCUUGAAUUAUACUCCCUCCUCUCUUAUGUUAAAAUAUACACUCCCCUCCCCUCUUAUUUAAAACAUAUUAGAAAACUUUUCACUCCCCUCCCCUCCCCUAAGGCUCUGUUUGGAUAAGUGAAAAUCAACAGAACGGAAUGGAACGGAAUGGAAUGGAACAGAAUUGAAUGGAAUAAAGAUUUCAUUCCAUUGUUUGGAUACUUUAUGAUGGAACGAAACUAGUUUUCCAUUCCAUUGUUUGGAAAGUUAACGGAACGGAACGAGUUAUAACUUUUUUAUUCCAAUUUUACCCUUAUAUUUAAAAGAAGUUGAAUUCUCUACUCAAUCCAAUCAAUAUGUUGUUAUUUUAGCAUCAUUUGUGAGUAGCAGUAACACGUGCAAUUUCAUUAAAAAAUAUCAAUAGUUUUCACUGACGUGAAUCCUUUGUAUACAAAGCUACUCAAAAACAGUAACAACAUGAGCAAUAUCACACUGAUAUAUGUUGCAUGUCUGCUACAAGCUAAUUGAAAUCCACUACAAGCAAAAUUUUAUUGGUAAAGCUAGCACUAACCACCCAUAAUAGAGGGUUCAUAAAUUAGAAGAAAAGCAUCAAACAUGAAUAAGAUGGGAAAAAAAGAAGAAACGUCACAAUUAAUUUGGAAAAAGAUGAAGAAAUAUGGGUUCAUAAAUAACAAGAAAUAACAAUAGAAAUCUUGGUUCAAAUAUUAGUAGAAGCAUCAAAUAUGAAGAUGAAGAAAUAUGAGUUAGCUUAUUGGAGCACAUUGGAACAAGAAGAAAUGAAGGAAAAAAAGAGAGGUAAUGGUGCACGCUAAAAUUGGGAAUGAAAAAUAAGGAUCAAGUUGUAAUUUUAUUAUUAGAGUGUUCCAUUCCAUUAGAUACCUCCCAAUUUGGGGGGAAUGAAAAAAUGACUAAAUGAGUGGUAUUUGGAUGGAAUGGGUUCCAUCACACUCCAUUCCAUUCCAUUCAUUUUUUACAUAACCAAACAAUGGGAUGUGGAUAUAUCCCACUCCAUUCCAUUCCAUUCCAUCACUCUCCAUCAAUCCAAACAUAGCUUAAGAGAAGCUUGAAUUACUUCCCCCUCCCCUCUUAUGUUAAAAUCUACACUUUACUCGCUCAAUAUAUUUUUCUUUUAAUAUAAUAAAAAAUCGAAUACAUAUUUUUCAUUAUAUUUUAUUCACAAAUUCUUUAACAUGUAGUUUUAAACCCUAUUAUAAAAUAUGAAACAAUCUAAAAUAAAAUUAAAAUAUGUGAAAAACUACUAAAGACAAUAAAGCAUGGUUAUUUAAAAUUUAAUUUUAUACUCUAAAUUAUAAAAUCAAUAGCAAAAUAUUUGAAUUUAAUUACGAUUGACGUUUAAAUUAUAAAGAAAUGAAUUAAUUUUUUUUAAAUGGUGGUUCAAAAUUAAUAUAUUAUCAUAAAAAUAUUUAUUUAUGUUAAAAUAGAUUAAAGUGUAGUACAUAUUUAAUUAUUAAGGGAGGAGGUUGUAAUUCAAGCAUCUUAUAAGGGAAGAGAGUAUACAUUUUACUUUUCAAGGGAGGGGAGUGUAUAUUUUAACAUAAGAGAGAGGUGGAGGAGAAUGUAAUUCAAGCAUCUUUGAGGGGAGGGAAGUGUAAUUUACUCAAAUAUCAUUUUACACAUGAAUCCAAUGUGAAUGCUUAUUCCCUCUCUCUCUUUUAUCCAUCUGACACAAAAUUGCACUAAAGUCACCGACAAAGUCGUUAAAACUCAAUCUGCCAUGUAGAGGUAAGGUAACAGAUUCUCUAACAGUUUGAUUAAUUUUCCCCCUCAAAUUGGUUGAUAAGAAAUUUUGUUUCAAAGUAAAGUGAUGCAUUUGUUUCUAAUUGUAAAGGCUUGUAAAUGUCUACUUUGUUGAAUGAAUGAUGGUUUCUAAGUGACUAAGAUCAAUGCUUUGAUAAUUCAUAUUGGAUUAUAAAUUAUUGAUUCUCAAUUCAAUUCAAGACAGUGAUGGAGAUACAUAGCUUCUCGUUAAUAUUAUCUUAUAGUAGUUUUAAAGUUACAGAAAUCCCUUUUUAGAUUCAAUUUCUUUCAUGAUAUUUUGACAUGCUUAAGAUAAUGUGCAUAUGCAACCCUAUUUUUUAUGCUGAUAUAUUGUACAGAAAAGAUCACAUUUUCUAAAAAGAUUAAGCCACUGUUGAUGAGCUUAAGAUAAUGUGAAUCUGCUCAACCUGAAAUCGAUGAUUUGAUAAUGCAGAAUAAUGUAGUACGAACUGUUUUACUACAUCAAAUUUUUAGAUAUAACAAAUCUGUCAAUAUCUGUUGCAUUUUCUGUUAAAGCCAUCUUAUUUGGUGAACUUCUCAUCAUACAUGUAGAAUCCUAAUUGUCCCGUUGAUUUUCAGACCAAUCAAUAAUGUUAUAAUUUAGACUUUCUUACAAAACAUGUAAUGUAAGCUCUUAAACUCAAUUUUCUAGUGGACGAGAAGAAGCAGUCAUAUUCAUGGGAAUUGGAGGGGUGUUCGAUCAAACUUCUAACUUCCGAAGGGGAGGUGGCUUUCUGAUCAAAGUUGCUUGCUCAAAUGAAUAAGCAAUUUCAAUCAACUUUGGAUCUGAGCCUUUCAAACCUCCAAAGCAAAUUCCAAAUGGCUGAUCCUUUUCAUAUCCUGCUGGAACAAUCACUCCAGGAUAACCUCCAAUGGCAAGUAUGUUACUAAAGGAUGCCAAAGGUAUUACCACAGCAUCAAGUUUAUUUCUUUUCAUCAGUUUUUCAAACCCAUUCUGUGACGAUCUUGUCAUAUUUAAUAAUGCUUGUUUCUCUGCUUUCCCAAUUCCGUUUGUCUUUUCAGCUUGCACCAUGAGAUCUUGGCCAUACUCAAGUUUCUCCUACAAUGUUUAUACAACAAUUAAGAUGCUAUCGUGAUCAAUGUUCAUAGCUGGACUUUAUGUAACAAAUAGGCAUGGCACAAAUAGUAACAAUCAAAUGUUAUCAGUUGAUUCUUACAGUCGUGAAGCAAACUGGUCGUAAAAAAUAACAUAGUUCUAAUAUUCUAUAUACAUACUCACCGAUUUUGGGUGUUUCUUGUUGAAGGCUAUCACAUCUGCCAAGCUUUUCACUGGUGAAGCAACUAAUUCUUUCAGGUACUUAUUCAAGGAUAAUUUGAAUUCAAAAUUCAAGGCAAUUUGUUCACUUUGAUCAGUGAAAAUUUCAACAAUGUUAUCAAUCUUCAAAUUGUCAAUCAAAACUGCACCUCUUCGCCUGAUUUUGAAGAAAGUAUACACACACAGACACAUAUGUGACUUAUUAAAGCUUCACUAGAAAUAUUAGUACUUGAAAAAUAAUAGUUUUAGACUUACCUUAACGUGUUUAGGUGUAGCUUAAAAGUUUUAUCCAGUAAGGUGUCAUUUCCAAACUCGUAGUAUAAUCUUACCACUCCCAAUCUCUUUCCUCUCAAUCCAUCUUUCUUUAGAAAUUGAGCAUAGCCACCUUUUGGGAUAUACUUUGAUGCUUCAAUUGUUGCCUUAUCAAAAGGGUCAAUACCUGCUAUGGUUUCAAGAACAUAAGCAGCAUCUGAUACAGUCCUGCAAAUUGGCCUAUACAAAACCACACAAUCAAUGUUUAAACAUUUAAUAGCAAAAUGUCUUUGGAGAGGAAAAUUGAGUUUGAAAAUGCAAGAGCAUGUUGACAUAAAGAAAACAUAGGUAUUGCCAAUUUGCCACAUAUAUUUAGGCUUACCCAACUGUGUCUUGCCUUGGGCUAAUUGGAACUACACCUGCUCUACUAGUGAGACCUACUGUUGGUUUGAUGCCUACUACUGAGUUCAUACAUGAAGGGCAUAAAAUGGAGCCAUCAGUUUCAGUACCAAGUGACACAGCCACCAAAUUUGCUGCUACUGAUAUUGCUGGCCCACUACUUGAGCCACAAGGAUCAUCCAACGUGUAUGGAUUCUGCACAAAACAAUGCACAAGUGUGAACUCAUUUUCUAGAAUCAUUCAUACUUAAGUUCCUAUGAGAAGGCAUAAUGAAGUUAUUACUUUAGGCCUCCAAAAAUAUUCACUCACUUUUUUUAGUUGGAAGCCACGUAAGGUAGUGUUUGGCCCGGCUUAUUUCUGACUUUUCUACACAAUAAAAGGAGAAGUUGGGCCAAACACAUUUCUUGAGAAGCACUUAAUAUAUAAAGUUGCUUAUUUUUAUAGUGUAAAAUACACAAAUAAAGUAGUUUUGCUAAAGUUGUUGAAACUAACUUCUAAAAGUUCUCGGCAACUUUUUUCUAUGUAUUCCCCUUCGAAUCCUAUUGAGCACGUUUUAUUUUUCAUUUUAAUUGAUUUUUCAGACGGCAUGCAUGUGCUCUUCAAUUGCUAAUUGCUAUGUAUUAUUUUUUGUUUGUUUUGAAUUUUAAUUUUUUAUAUUGUUUAGUAAUAUAUAUAAGGAAUUUUUUCUUUCAUUUUUAAAUAUUUUAAUAGUUAUUAGAUCUUAACAAGGCAUUUUUAUCCAAAAAAGAAUCAUAAGUGAGGUAAUCGUUUAUGAAAUAUCUUCAAAAAUUACUUAAAAUCAUAAUGUAUGAAUUUUUAAUUUUUAUAUAUCUUAAUCACCCCUUUAUCUAUAAUAUUUUUAAAAAAAUUGUUUCAUUUUCCCCUAAAAAAAUGAUUGUUUCUUUUAAAUAUAUUUAUUUAUUUAAUAAUUUCUUUUGAAAUAUGAACUUUCUUAAAAAUAAAUCAUUUAAAUAAAAAUAUUAUCAAACACUUGAACAUAAAAUAUAUUUUGAAAUAAAAAGUAGCAUUUACCAAACAACUUUAACUUCAUUUCUAAAGCUCAUAUUUUUAACUUUAAGUUUAAAGUAGCUUCUAUGCCUCAAAAAAGUUGGGCCAAACACACCCUUAGGACCUUUGGCACCCCAUUUGCUACACAUAAUAUUUCCACUAGCUUCAGUCCAUUAGACUGAUAAUGAGACUAAUCUCUGCUUAGGUGUUUUCGGUCUUAGCUUAAAACUCGUCACCAUGAAUGUGUUUAGUAGAGAUCGAACUGCAAAGUUCCCCGACAAGCUCAGUAGUGGUUAACAAACUGAACCUCACCAAUUGAGUAUUAUAUUAGUGAACAUUUUUUAUUUAUUAAGACCUCAAAAGCUAUCCAAAAGUCCAGCCUAUAACUCUAUCACUUAAGAUGAAAAGCUUUAUUUCAAAGUUCGAUUUAUCCCUCACUCAAUUUUGUGCCAGCUCUGGUUUAGCUAUAUGACUUCAUAAGUAUAUCAGAUUCCGAACAUCUAGACAAAUACAUAAUAAGCAAUGCUAGAAAACAAAAUUAAAAGAGGGAUAGAUUUGAAUUGAAAAGCCAGAUCAUGGUCAAAUUAAGUAAGAAAAAGUAGUAAAUUAUAUACCUUUCCUUGUCCACCUCUAGCACUCCAACCACUAGGAGCUCCAUUAGACCUGUAAUGUGACCACUCACUCAAAGUGGCCUUGCCCAAUAUAAUAGCCCCAGCUUUCCUUAACUUGUUAACUACACCUGCAUCUCUUGGCACUACUGAGCCAAGCAGUGCAAAAGAGCCUGCAGUAGUGUUUAGCUUAUCCUUUGUUGCAAUGUUAUCCUUAACCAAAAUAGGUAUUCCAUGCAACCUUGAAAGAGAACCUGCUGCUUUUUCUCUUCUCUCCUUGUCAGCUCUAUCUGCUUGUGCUAGUGCAUCUGGAUUCACCUCCAAGACACCUUUGAGAACUGGGUUUUGGAUAUUGAUUUGUUUGAGGUAAAACUCAACAAGUUGUCUUGAUGUUAACUGCUUUCUUUGGAAAGCAAGUUGGAGAUCUUGCACAGUUGCUUCCUUGAUUGAGAUUCCACUUGCCAAGGUUGUUGAUAGCAUAGAAGAGAGUGUAACUAGUAGAAGGGUUAUAGAAAGGAAUUGAAAGAAAGAGCUAGCACAUGCUGAGGCCAUGACUCCACGAGUCUUGAAAGUUGAAACCACCAAGCAUCUAUAAUGGAGUAUAUAUAGAAUAUAUUUCUGAAUUAUAGUGGAUAUUAAAAAAAAUUAAAUACCAUUUCAUCGUGUUUCACAUGCCCUGCCCCAUGGCAUUAAAUUAUUAUACUACUUAUGAUUAUGAUCCACUCCUGGGCCUUCAAAUUCUUAACAAAAUGGAAAUAUCAAUAACUCCAUAUUCAAGAACUAGAAAAUCAAAGGCAAAAUAUUAAUUUAUCCUAAUUUUUUUUUUGACAUAGUCUUAAACAUUUGUUAUUAGACUAUUGAGCUAAGUCACUACAUUUUUAGUCAAUUUUGUAAGAACAUUUCAUAAAUUACCUGUGGGAUUUUGUGACAAAUUAGCUUGGCAUAUUAUAUUAGAUUUGACACUUCUACGCAGUUUUCCCAAUAGAUAUGGUAGUAUGCUAAUAUCUUAUUAUUACAAAAAUAUUGAGUAAUAAAAACAGUAGAAAGGUUGCAAAAUUAUUGGAUUAAAUAAUGAGUUAAUGAGGGUACAAUGUUAUUUGAUAUAAAAAUUGAAGAUCACCAUAACACAAAAGAGUAUACAAAAGAAUAUCUCACUUUUUUAUUUACCACAUAUAUCUUUCAACGAGCCAAUUCUUAGAGCAUCUAAAUGUAGGUAUCUCUUAUAACGAGAAUUAGUAAAAGACUCGUACAUUCUCACGUGUCUCUUAAAAUUGAACUUUUUUAUCCAUCAAUUAUGACAUUUGUGACAAUUUUGGUUCAACUGGUAUUAUUAGUCUAAAAAAAAGUGAUUUUUGAGGUCAAAAUUCAAUUUUUUUGGGGGGUAACAUCAUUAUUUUUGGGACCAAAAUUCAUGGUUAGAAACCAAAAUGACAACAAAUGUAAUGAUGGUUGAAUUGAAUUGAAUGAUGAUGUGAUAUCCGAUUUAUACUUCAGAGUACAAUGUUGAGUUUGUUUGUUUCUAAUUCUAUAAGUUUGUUGAAUUGAAUGAAUGAUGGUUUCAAAGUGAGUACAAUGAUGAUGAAUGAUUCUCAAUUCAAGACAGUGAUGGAGAUGUAUAGAUUCUCGUUUGUAUUCUCUUAACACUAGCUUUGCUGUUAUGUAAAUCUAUUUUUAGUUUGAAUUUGUAACAAAAUUCCUUUUCAUGAUAGUUUGGCAUGCUUAAGAUAAUGUGCAUAUCCAGCCCUAUUUUUUUGCUUUACUAUUGUCCAGAAAAUAUCAGGUUUUUCGAAAAAAUUAAGCCAACUGUUGGUAGACUAGUGAGUUAAGAUAACAUGAAUCCGCUCAACCUGAAAUUAUAACAAAUCUGUUGCAUUAUUUUCUAUCAAGAUUUCCACGAGUAAAACUUCUCACUAUACAUGUAGAAUCCUAAUUGUCCCGUGGAUUUUCAGACCAAUCAACAAUGUUGGUGAUUAUUACGGAACAUGUAAUGCAAGCUCUUAAGAUCAAUUUACUAGCGAAUGAGAAGAAGCAGUUAUAUUCAUGGGAAUUGGAGAGGGCGUUCAAUCAAACUUAUAACUUCCGAAAGGGAGGUGGCUUUCUGAUCAAAGUUGCUUGCUCAAAUGAAUAAGCAAUUUCAAUCAACUUUGGCUCUGACCCUUUCAAACCUCCAAAGAAAAUUCCAAAUGGCUGACCCUUUUCAUAUCCUGCUGGAACACUCAGUCCAGGAUAACCUCCAAUAGCAAGUAUAUGGCUAAAGGACCAAAUAGGUGUUACUACAGCAUCAAGUUUAUUUCUUUUCAUCAGUUUCUCAAACCCAUUUUGUGACCAUCUUGUCAUGUUUAAUAAUGCUUGUUUUUCUGCUUUACCAAUUCCAUUUGUCUUUUCAGCUUGCACCAUGACAUCUUGGCCAUACCCAAGUUUCUCCUACAAUGUUUGUACAACAAUUAAGAUGCUAUCGUGAUUGAUGUUAAUUAAUGAGAAAUGCUUUAUGUAACAAAUAGGCAUGGCACAAAUAGUAACAAUCAAAUGUUAUCAGCUGAUUCGUACAGUUCGUGAAGCACAUUGAUUGUAAAAAAAUAACAUAGUUCUUAUAUACAAUAUACAUACUCACCAAUUUUGGGUGUUUCUUGUUGAAGGCUAUCACAUCUGCCAAGCUUUUCACUGGUGAAGCAACUAAGUCUUUCAGGUACUUAUUCAAGGAUAAUUUGAAUUCAAAACUCAAUGCAAUUUCUUCACUUUGAUCAGUGUAAAUUUCUACAAUAUUAUCAAUCUUCAAGUUGUCAAUCAAAACUGCACCUCUUCGCCUGAUUUUGAAGAAAGUACACACACACACAGACACACACAUAUGUGACUUAUUGAAGCUUCAUUAGAAAUAUUAGUACAUGAGAAAUAAUAGUUUUAGACUUACCUUAAUGUGUUUAAGUGUAGCUUAAAAGUUUUAUUCAAUAAGGUGUCAUUUCCAACCUCGUAGUAUAAUCUUACCACUCCCAAUCUCUUUCCUCUCAAUCCAUCUUUCUUUAGAAAUUGAGCAUAGCCACCUUUUGGGAUGAACUUUGAUGCUUCAAUUGUUGCUUUAUCAAAAGUGUCGAUGCCUGCUAUGGUCUCAAGAACAUAAGCAGCAUCUGAUACAGUCCUGCAAAUUGGCCUAUACAAAACCACACAAUCAAUGUUUACACAUUUAAUAGCAAAAUGUCUUGCAGAGGAAAAUUGUGUUUAAAAAUGCAGGAGCAUGUUCACAUAAAAAAAACGUAUAGGUAUUGCCAAUUUGCCACACACGUAUAUAUACAGGCUUACCCAACUGUAUCCUGCCUUGGGCUAAUUGGAACUACACCUGCUCUACUAGUUAGGCCAACUGUUGGUUUGAUGCCUACUACUGAGUUAAAACCUGAAGGGCAUAAAAUGGAGCCAUCCGUUUCAGUACCAAGUGACACAGUUACCAUAUUUGCUGCUACUGAUAUUGCUGAUCCACUGCUUGAUCCACAGGGUUUACCCAAUGUGUAUGGAUUCUGCACAACGGAAGCACAAGUGUGAAUUCCUCAUUUUCUAGAAUCACCAUUCAUACUAAAGUUCCUAUGGGAAGGCAUAAUGAAACCAUUCCUUUAGGCCUUCAAAAAUAUUUUCUUGCUUUUUUUUGGUUGGAGGCCAUGUAAUUAGGACCUUUGGCACCCCAAAAGCUACACAUAAUAUGCACUGAUAAUGAGACUAAUCUCUGCAUAGGUGUUUUAGAUCUUAGCUUAAAACUCUUCACCAUGGAUGUGUUUUGUGGGGAUCGAACUGAGGCCUACCCCCACAAGCUCAGCUACAGUUAAUAAACUGAACCACACCCAUUAAGUAUUACUAUUAGUGACUAUUUUUUAUUUUCAGUUUUAUAAGGCCUCAUAAACUAUCAAAAAUCCAACCUAUACUCCAUCACUUAACUAACAUAAAAAGUUUUAUUUAAAAGUUUGGCCAUAUGACUUCAUAAGAAUAUCAGAUUCUUAACAGAUAGGCAAAUACAUGAUAAGCAAUGCUACAAAACAAAAUUUAAAGUUAUAGGUUUGGAUUGCAAAGCAAGACCAUAGUCAAAUAAAGUAAGAAGAAGUAGUAAGUUUAUAUACCUUUCCAUGUCCACCUCUGGCACUCCAAGCACUAGGAGCUCCAUUAGACCUGUAAUAUGACCACUCACUCAGGGUGGCCUUCCCCAAUAUAAUAGCCCCAGCUUUCCUUAACUUGUUAACAACACCCGCGUCUCUUGGCACCAGUGAGCCAAGCAAUGCAAAAGAGCCAGCAGUAGUGUUCAAUUUAUCCUUAGUUGCAAUGUUAUCCUUAACCAAAAUAGGUAUUCCAUGCAACCUUGAAAGAGAACCUACUGCUUUAGUCCUUCUUUCUUGGUCAGCUCUAUCUGCUUGUGCUAGUGCAUCUGGAUUCACCUCCAACACCCCUUUGAGAACCGGGUUUUGGAUUUUGAUUUGUUUGAGGUAAAACUCAACAAGUUGUCUUGAUGUUAACUGCUUUCUUUGGAAGGCAAGCUGGAGAUCUUGCACAGUUGCUUCCUUGAUUGAGAAUCCACUAGCCAAGGUUGUUGUUGAUAGCAUAGAAGGGAGUGUAACUAGAAGAACGAUC